UCAACUAAUUCUCUUGUAAACUUUCCUUUAU
This 31-nucleotide non-coding RNA is filed under the name Mus musculus (house mouse). Lineage: Eukaryota; Metazoa; Chordata; Mammalia; Rodentia; Muridae. The record is from RNAcentral.